AAUGUGGUCGUUCUGCCAAAUUUGAGCAAGGAUAGCGCAGCGGUGAGCGAAAAAUGUUUUGCGAACGCGCGCAGCGAAAUAUUCAGGACCCAGCACAUGACUUACGGCUUUCAUAUUUACUUCGACUUUGGAUUCGCAACUAUGAGAAGCGCGGCAAUGGCUCUGACGGCACCUUGCAAUCUACGGCGGUGAACGAGUAUUUAAACGCGAGUGGCAUUCCUCUCUUGGUUGCGUUACGCCUGUGAAAUCCGACAGCGGUGGCAGCAUGUCGUCCGAUCCGCCUUCAACUGAACGCUCGCCGACUGAUGCGGAAGGAGCGGUUUGCCUCUUGCUUGCGGUGCGCCUGUACCUCACAGCGGUGGCAGUAUGGCGUCCGAUCCGCCUUCAACUGAACGCUCGCCAACUGGUGCGGAAGGAGCGGUUUGCCUCUUGCUUGCGUUGCGCCUGUGAAACGUGACAACGGUGGCAGCAUGUCGUCCGAUCCGGCUUAAACUGAACGCUCGCCGACAGGGGCGGAAGAAGCGGCUUGCCUCGUUUCGCAGGGGCCAUCAAAGAAAAUCGUGAAGCUCAUAGGCGCCCGGAAACUCGCCGACCUCCACGAAAGCCUGCGGACGGGAGGGUUCGUGUACCUGAUGACAGGCAACGAUCUUCUAAUACAGAUCUUCCAACGACCGGUUGCAGUGCUACGUCGACAUGGGUGAAAGCACGACGGUGUGUGAUGGAGCAUUGAUUAACUUGGUUGUCUCCCCAAGCCACUCCGAAGCAUCAGAGGCACAAAAAAAGCCGCUGUCUGGUAGUGCGGUUGGACAUGCGGAGAAUGCAGUCAAAGGACAGUACAAGGAAUUGUCAACUUACACACUGCCUCUGAUGCCCAUUGACGUUGCUGCACACCUCUGAAAUAUUACAGCAGGAGGCGUGCCUGACAAUCUUCAAAAGAAAAUUGAAUGGAUUGCCUACAAUUCGUCAUCUCA
Molecule: long non-coding RNA, 971 nt
Organism: Dermacentor andersoni
Lineage: Eukaryota; Metazoa; Arthropoda; Arachnida; Ixodida; Ixodidae
Source: RefSeq, a predicted model, not a curated record